RNAcentral lists this ribosomal RNA (266 nucleotides) under uncultured bacterium. RNAcentral's name for it is "partial 16S ribosomal RNA". It matches the Rfam family "Bacterial small subunit ribosomal RNA", at positions 793 to 1055 of the family's 1533-position model. The record is from RNAcentral.
GUCCAUGCCGUAAACGUUGGGCACUAGGUGUGGGGGACAUUCCACGUUUUCCGCGCCGUAGCUAACGCAUUAAGUGCCCCGCCUGGGGGAGUACGGCCGCAAGGCUAAAAACUCAAAGGAAUUGACGGGGGCCCGCACAAGCGGCGGAGCAUGCGGAUUAAUUCGAUGCAACGCGAAGAACCUUACCAAGGCUUGACAUGAACCGGAAAGACCUGGAAACAGGUCCCCCGCUUGCGGUCGGUUUACAGGUGGUGCAUGGUUGUCGU